GGGCCCGCACAAGCAGUGGAGCAUGUGGUUUAAUUCGAUGCAACGCGAAGAACCUUACCCAGGCUUGACAUAUAGAGGACCGCUCUAGAGAUAGAGUUUCCCGCAAGGGCCUCUAUACAGGUGCUGCAUGGCUGUCGUCAGCUCGUGCCGUGAGGUGUUGGGUUAAGUCCCGCAACGAGCGCAACCCUUGUCGUUAGUUACCAACACGUAAUGGUGGGGACUCUAACGAGACUGCCUAGGUUAACUAGGAGGAAGGUGAGGAUGACGUCAAGUCCGCAUGGCCUUUAUGUCUGGGGCUACACACGUGCUAGCAAUGGUCGGUACAGAAGGCAGCGAAGCCGAAAGGUGGAG
RNAcentral lists this ribosomal RNA (351 nucleotides) under uncultured bacterium. RNAcentral describes it as "bacterial SSU rRNA". It matches the Rfam family "Bacterial small subunit ribosomal RNA", at positions 917 to 1267 of the family's 1533-position model. The record is from RNAcentral.